GAAUUCAGAUAUCCUUCAAAGAAUCUAUUAGAAGAAAUGUCCAAAAUGAAGUGGAGAUGCAAAAUGGAAACACUGUUGGAAAACUCAAAAUAGAAGUAGUUGAAAUAGCCACGGACCGAGAUUGCGGUACUGAUAUUUACUGUCCUACUUUUGUCUGCAUGGUUUUAUGAUUAUCAUUAUUGGACUGAUGCGAAUUUUAUUUUGCUUGCUUGGAGACGAAACAUGCAGGUUGGCGCUACUGCAAGGUUCGCUCGCCGAUCGGUUCAGGUUAAGCCCACGGCGUAUCAAAAGGAAUUGGUCUGUAUGGAAGUCGAGUCCCUUUCCAUGUGAAUUAAGCUUAGAUUAUCUGAAAGAUAUUUAUCAUUUUGAGAUUGUCCAUGCUAUCUUCGUAUCGUAGGUGAGCUAUGGUCAUUCUUUACAUCUUUAGAAGAUGGAGUCUCCUCAACAGAUGGAGCGAUUCCAGACCGUUCCGUCCCGAAAUGACUAGCUGAAGCUGAACUACAAGGUGUUUGAAAGAAGUUAAAGACAAUUCGGUGCCAAGACUAAAACCAGGUGUGUUGUUACACUGCUGUCCAAUUACCGUAGAAUUGGUGCGACUUGAGAUACAGAGAGCAAUAUUUGGAGGAGGUUCUACGUCGUGAUUAGCAGAUCAUCCUGUCAUAACGCCUCUGAUCUUUGCCAUGUUGGGUGGAAGUCUAGCUGUUUUACUAUGUAACAUAGAAACAAGUGAGCUAAAAUUAUGUCAUGACGCCGUUACCGGUGAAAACCCACCAAGCCCAGAUACGAAAUGCUGCAUGUUGUCCACCGUUGCAAUCUUACUUGCCUUUGCGGUUACAAGUCUGAAUUACCUUUAUUUGGAAUUAACCCCGCAAAUGCUAUGGCCUCGCCUGGUAGAUGUGGUCUGUGAUUAUCUUUGACAAUGUAUAAUUUCAUGAUUAAUCUUUUCUUUUUGCAGUGAGGUGAAGGUCUCCUCCAUUAAAAGCAAUUCAUGUGUUUUGCUAACACUAGAGAAGCUUUAAGCAGCAUUUGAUGUCCCCCAAAUAAAGAUGUAGUUUAUCAGUGUGUUUUGUCCAUUUAUUUGAAAGAAGAUAUGUAGUGUAUCAGUGUUUGGUGUUGUAGAUGUUGUAAAGGUAUUUGAUGUACAAGAAUACGUGUCUCAAGAAUAUCAAGAAAACAUGUAUCGUUGCCUCCUAUUGCAAUAUGUAGUUUGUUCAAUAAAAUGUUUGUUUCUUA
Long non-coding RNA from Lathyrus oleraceus (garden pea), 1233 nucleotides. RefSeq lists it as uncharacterized. Lineage: Eukaryota; Viridiplantae; Streptophyta; Magnoliopsida; Fabales; Fabaceae. The record is from RefSeq and is a predicted model, not a curated record. The transcript has 3 exons.